RNAcentral lists this ribosomal RNA (270 nucleotides) under uncultured bacterium. Its description in RNAcentral is "partial 16S ribosomal RNA". It matches the Rfam family "Bacterial small subunit ribosomal RNA", at positions 32 to 312 of the family's 1533-position model. The record is from RNAcentral.
AAUCAACGCUGGCGGCGUGCCUAACACAUGCAAGUCGAACGAGAAAGUGGAGCAAUCCAUGAGUAAAGUGGCGACCGGGUGAGUAACACGUGACUAACCUACCUUUUAGUGGGGGAUAACCCCGGGAAACCGGGGCUAAUACCGCAUAACAUCGCAAGAUCAAAGCCGAAAGGCGCUGGAAGAGGGGGUCGCGGCUGAUUAGCUAGUUGGCGGGGUAACGGCCCACCAAGGCGAAGAUCGGUAUCCGGCCUGAGAGGGCGCACGGACACA